GUAAAGGCAAUUUAUGACAUGAUGGGCAAGUAUACUUACCCAGUGCUGAAGGAAGAUGCUCCAAGACAACAUGUAGAAGUAUUUUUCCAGAAAAUGGACAAAAACAAAGAUGGCAUUGUAACUUUGGAUGAGUUUAUUGAGUCAUGCCAGGAGGAUGAGAAUAUCAUGAGAUCCUUACAGCUUUUUGAAAAUGUCAUGUAACAGCAGCUGAAGAGCAGUCUAGAAAUCUGAGACUUUAUAUGUACUGAGAUCCUGAAGAAAACAAGUCAAGAUUUUUCUCCCCACCAUCUUUUUUGAUGAAAGCUUUUUACUACUUGGACAGACUCAGUGUAUAAGGAUUUUGUAUGAUACUGCAAACUGAGCUGUGUCUCUGAAUGCAACAAACUCUUGCCUCCCUCAAGAGACACUGACUAGAAUUUAUUUCAUUUAGAAGCAUGCUAAUAAAAUCUGACCAGAGAGACCUGCUGCUUAAAGUUUAAUAAAUUAUUGAAGUUUAAAUUAUUGAAAUAAUAUUCAAUAUUCUAUUAGCUAAUCACAAAAAAAAUUCUGCUGCUUUGACUCUAGCAAGCUGGAUUGCAUAUGGUAACACAGCAUCAGUAGCUUCUUUAAUCAUCCGUUGUGUUUUUGUAUCAUCACAUUGUGUUAAUGUUUUCCUUUGAUGGUACUGAAAAAGUUCGUGCUACUUUUACAAACUGACACAAAUAUAAGAUGGUAAAUGGGGGGUUUAAUUCAUUUAUAACCUGUCUGGACAAUUAUUUAUUUAUAUUUAUUGCACAAAUAUUUGCUGGGCAAUAAAUGUAGAGCAGUGACUAAUUUAUUGUACCAGAUUCAGGCAUUUGUUUACCCAAGAAAAGGCUUUCCAUUCAGCAAAACUGUAUUUUCUUAGCAUUUAGACUGUUGCUGGAAAUAUACAUUUCUUUUCACCACUAACAAAAUAGUUGCAAUCUGGAAUCUACCUGCAAAAGGGUAUUUCCAUGUAUACUAAAAUUGUCACUUUUCAAGGCAAAGAUUUGACAAGCUGGUCCAUUUCAAAACUGCCACAAUAGCUUCUCCCUCUCACCCAGAGCAAAUGUUCAAGCAUGUUCAAGUGAAAUUAAUAACUUGGGGCUGGGCCUAUGCAAGAGAAGGGUUACCAAAGGUGAAACUGAAAAGCAUGUGUAGGUGUGUUUUUGCUAUCUGAUUACUAAGUGCCAGCUGUUGUGGGAGUUUCGUCUGCGGGCUGAGUACAUCUGAUGCAAUGGA
This is a long non-coding RNA of Ahaetulla prasina, 1242 nucleotides long. RefSeq lists it as uncharacterized. The transcript is spliced from 3 exons. The record is from RefSeq and is a predicted model, not a curated record. Lineage: Eukaryota; Metazoa; Chordata; Lepidosauria; Squamata; Colubridae.